CCGUCUGGGGCCGUACUGACGCUGAGGCUCGAAAGUGCGGGUAUCAAACAGGAUUAGAUACCCUGGUAGUCCGCACAGUAAACGAUGGAUACUCGUGGUUGGCGACAGACAGUCAGUCACCAAGCGAAAGCGAUAAGUAUCCCACCUGGGGAGUACGCCGGCAACGGUGAAACUCAAAGGAAUUGACGGGGGCCCGCACAAGCGGAGGAACAUGUGGUUUAAUUCGAUGAUACGCGAGGAACCUUACCCGGGCUUGAAUUGCGCUGGACGUGUCCAGAGACGGACAUUUCUUCGGACCAGCGUGAAGGUGCUGCAUGGUUGUCGUCAGCUCGUGCCGUGAGGUGUCGGCUUAAGUGCCAUAACGAGCGCAACCCUUCUCUUCGGUUGCCAUCAGGUGAUGCUGGGCACUCCGGAGACACUGCCAUCGCAAGAUGUGAGGAAGGUGGGGAUGACGUCAAAUCAGCACGGCCUUGACGGGCGGGGGGACCCACGUGUUACAAUGGGAUAUACAGAAGGCAGCCACCCCGCACGGGGCGCUAAUCCCCAAAGUAUCCCCCAGUUCGCACUGGACUCUGCAACCCGACUCCUAGAAGCUGAUUC
RNAcentral lists this ribosomal RNA (600 nucleotides) under uncultured bacterium. RNAcentral's name for it is "bacterial SSU rRNA". It matches the Rfam family "Bacterial small subunit ribosomal RNA", at positions 725 to 1333 of the family's 1533-position model. The record is from RNAcentral.